RNAcentral lists this ribosomal RNA (465 nucleotides) under uncultured bacterium. Its description in RNAcentral is "partial 16S ribosomal RNA". It matches the Rfam family "Bacterial small subunit ribosomal RNA", at positions 338 to 795 of the family's 1533-position model. The record is from RNAcentral.
CCUACGGGAGGCAGCAGUGGGGAAUAUUGCGCAAUGGGCGAAAGCCUGACGCAGCGACGCCGCGUGAGGGAUGAAGGUCUUCGGAUCGUAAACCUCUGUCAGCAGGGAAGAACGGUCACUGUGCUAAUCAGCAGUGAAUUGACGGUACCUGCAAAGGAAGCACAGGCUCACUCCGUGCCAGCAGCCGCGGGUAUACGGAGGGUGCGAGCGUUAAUCGGAAUUACUGGGCGUAAAGCGUUCGUAGGCGGUAUGUCAAGUCAAGGGUGAAAUCCCCGCGCUCAACGUGGGAACUGCCUUUGAAACUGGCAGACUGGAGUGUGUGAGAGGAUAGUGGAAUUCCAGGUGUAGGAGUGAAAUCCGUAGAUAUCUGGAGGAACAUCAGUGGCGAAGGCGACUAUCUGGCACAUAACUGACGCUGAGGAGCGAAAGCGUGGGUAGCAAACAGGAUUAGAUACCCUAGUAGUC